This 253-nucleotide ribosomal RNA is filed under the name uncultured bacterium. RNAcentral describes it as "partial 16S ribosomal RNA". It matches the Rfam family "Bacterial small subunit ribosomal RNA", at positions 524 to 776 of the family's 1533-position model. The record is from RNAcentral.
UACGUAGGUGGCGAGCGUUAUCCGGAUUUACUGGGUGUAAAGGGCGUGUAGGCGGGCUUGCAAGUCAGAUGUGAAAUUCCAGGGCUCAACCCUGGAACUGCAUUUGAAACUGUAGGUCUUGAGUGCUGGAGAGGCAAUCGGAAUUCCGUGUGUAGCGGUGAAAUGCGUAGAUAUUAGGAGGAACACCAGUGGCGAAGGCGGCUUGCUGGACGACAACUGACGCUGAGGCGCGAAAGCGUGGGGAGCAAACAGG